GAGCUCACUUCAGCAACACAUGCACUAAGACUGCAGUAUACAGAGAAGAUUAGCAUAGUCCCUGAACAAGGAUGUCACGCAAACUCUUGGAACAUUCCUCUUUUUU
This 106-nucleotide small nuclear RNA is filed under the name Sus scrofa (pig). Lineage: Eukaryota; Metazoa; Chordata; Mammalia; Artiodactyla; Suidae. The record is from RNAcentral.